Molecule: long non-coding RNA, 904 nt
Organism: Equus asinus (donkey)
Lineage: Eukaryota; Metazoa; Chordata; Mammalia; Perissodactyla; Equidae
Source: Ensembl
GGGACGGAUCGCGCGCGGCUCCGGGAGGAGUCGGGUGGGACGGCCUCUCAUCCACACACCCCGCCCACACCUCCGCCCCGGAGAAGCGUUAACCCGUCUCCGCGGCGGUGGGCGGUGCGCGGGGCUUCCGGGUUCUUCGGCGCUAAGCACGGCUCACGUGCGGCGCCGCUUUCCCGCCGCAGCCAGCUGUGUUCCGCUCGUCCCGCGGAACGCCGGGCACGGGUGGGCCGGCGGGGUCGCUCCCAGGCCCAGUUUCCGAAACGUGCGCGAAAGGAGUCAGGGCUAGCUCCCCCUUUCUGCUACCCGGACCGCACUACGAGUCCCAGCGGGCAGCGCCGCCACGCGCGUCGGCCACCGAAGCGGUGCCUGCUGGGAGCUGGAGUCCCCAACGGCCGCGGUUCGCUGACCCCAACUGGCCGCGGGUCUUGCCUCCCGCUCGGCGAACCCCAACCGUCCUGGCGCUGAACCCUGGAAACCAACCAGGUAUGAACAACUUCCUUCUAGAAAUCUUUCUUUGAGCUCAUUCAUAGGUUGAGCAAGAAAAUGUAUUAAUGCUAAAUGGUGGAUAACUGCCUAUGUCCUCACAAAUGUCCAUUGAAUGAUUGCAGUGACAGAAUUAUGUGUUCAGAGAUGUUCAGCACAUUUGAAUCCCUAAAGCUACUUGUGCCUGCCAUGAUAUGCCGUCUGCGAAGUGAUGCUGCCUAUGUAGUAAUGGUCAAAACCGUGGGACCACCCUGUGGGAAGUGGAAACAAAGCAAGAAGGCAAACCAUUUCCUUUUCAAAGACAGUGCUUGGAAUUUGAAUGCAUCACGUCUGCUGCUGACGUUGUAUUGGCUGGAACCUAGUCAUGUGGUCAUGUGGUCAUGUGGCUUACCUAGCUAUAAGGAAUCUUGGGAAAUGUCUC